This 131-nucleotide small RNA is filed under the name Yoonia ponticola. Its description in RNAcentral is "ar14". It matches the Rfam family "Alphaproteobacterial ar14". Rfam says of the family: Smr14C2 was renamed NfeR1 (Nodule Formation Efficiency RNA) highly expressed in salt stress and during the symbiotic interaction on legume roots. Lineage: Bacteria; Pseudomonadati; Pseudomonadota; Alphaproteobacteria; Rhodobacterales; Paracoccaceae. The record is from RNAcentral.
AGAAAGAGCGAUCAGACCCACCUCCUCCCGGGUUGAAAUCGCUCUCGUCGCCCGCGCCACACCUCCUCCCGUGGUAGUGGGCACAUAUAGAGAACCGCAGUGCCCACCUCCUCCCGGGCGCUGCGGUUUUU